CACGUAGUUAGCCGUGACUUUCUGGCGGGGCACCAUCAGUCAGCGCCCAUUUCCUGAUGCUGCCUUUUUUCCCCCGCAACAGAGCUUUACGACCCGAAGGCCUUCUUCACUCACGCGGCAUCGCUCGUUCAGGCUUGCGCCCAUUGACGAAAAUUCCCUACUGCUGCCUCCCGCAGGAGUCUGGGCCGUGUCUCAGUCCCAAUGUGGCCGUCCGCCCUCUCAGGCCGGCUAUGCAUCAUCGUCUUGGUGGGCCUUUACCCCGCCAACCAACUAAUGCAUCGCAGGUCCAUCCGCGCCCCAUCCCCCUAAAGGAUGUUUCACAGAAAGAAGAUGCCUCCUUCCUGUACAUCGGGAUUUGUUCUCCGUUUCCAGAGCGUAUUCCCGGUGCACGGGCAGGUUCCCUACGUGUUACUCACCCGUUCGCCACUAGAGACCCCGAAGGUCUCUCGUUCGACUUGCAUGUAUUAGGCAUGCCGCCAGCGUUCAUCCUGAGCCAGGAUACC
This 503-nucleotide ribosomal RNA is filed under the name uncultured Allobaculum sp. RNAcentral describes it as "partial 16S ribosomal RNA". Lineage: Bacteria; Bacillati; Bacillota; Erysipelotrichia; Erysipelotrichales; Erysipelotrichaceae. The record is from RNAcentral.